AAUGUUACGCGUGUGGUACGAAAAUUGAAAGAAAAAAAAGCGAGCAAAAAAUGAAGGGUCCAACAAGUUUUGAAACGAAUUCCUCGAGACAGCACAGCUUCGGGAUACGAGUUUCACCCUGAUGAUGGUUUUUUGUGAAACAAGAUUCCAUAUGGGAGAAAGCAAACCAUAGGAGACACACUACCACCGUACGAUGAGGUCGAAGUCAACGGAGACUAGAAGCAACAACGAGGAACAGGUUCUGUAGGAACUGCAUUCAAGAGCGAGGAGUGGAUGGAACGGUUGACCUCUGCGGACGACGGAGCCGUCAUGCGAGUCAUUAACAUAACAAACGCAUAAUAAUAGCUUGUAGGCAUUACUGUUACCGCUACGUCGACUCUCGGGACGUUGGAGAAUCAAGUCGCUUACACUAACCUUUGUAUUUAUAUAACGAAAAGAGUGACGAUGGCAGAAGAAAUAAGGGUUUUCAAGUGCACGAUUUCGUGCUCAUUCGUGCGUCAUCAAAUAAACGACGAAUCUCUCUACGCUUGAAUUACUCGCAGUUGAGAGAAGAGUCAUGAUAAAUUAAAUACCGAAGGAAAAGGGAAAGGUAAUGUGUCGCAUUGAUUUACUCUUGGGAUUUCUUCUCACAUUACCAAUGAACGUUAAGAACGUGUGUCCGUGAUUCAAGAAUGAUCCCGAGAGAAAUCACGCCAAGUAUUUUACAGUUGAAUUCAUUAUCGGACG
This is a long non-coding RNA of Polistes dominula (European paper wasp), 726 nucleotides long. The record is from RefSeq and is a predicted model, not a curated record. Lineage: Eukaryota; Metazoa; Arthropoda; Insecta; Hymenoptera; Vespidae.